Molecule: non-coding RNA, 72 nt
Organism: Sistotremastrum suecicum HHB10207 ss-3
Lineage: Eukaryota; Fungi; Basidiomycota; Agaricomycetes; Sistotremastrales; Sistotremastraceae
Source: the annotation of a GenBank genome assembly
GUCUCGGUGGUGUAGUGGAAGUCCGUCGAACUCCGAUUCCGAGUGACGCCGGUUCAAGUCUUGUCUGAGGCG